GCCGGGUGUGGUGGCGCAUGCCUGUAGUCCCAGCUACUCGGGAGGCUGAGGCAGAAGAAUUGCUUGAACCCGGGAGGCAGAGGUUGCAGUGAGCCAAGAUCACACCACUGCACUCCAGCCUGGGUGACAGAGUGAGACUCUGUUUCAA
This 148-nucleotide non-coding RNA is filed under the name Pan troglodytes (chimpanzee). Lineage: Eukaryota; Metazoa; Chordata; Mammalia; Primates; Hominidae. The record is from Rfam by way of RNAcentral.